RNAcentral lists this ribosomal RNA (301 nucleotides) under uncultured bacterium. RNAcentral describes it as "partial 16S ribosomal RNA". It matches the Rfam family "Bacterial small subunit ribosomal RNA", at positions 509 to 807 of the family's 1533-position model. The record is from RNAcentral.
CAGUAGCCGCGGGAAUACGGAGGGCGCGAGCGUUACCCGGAUUUACUGGGCGUAAAGGGCGUGUAGGCGGCCUGGGGCGUCCCAUGUGAAAGGCCACGGCUCAACCGUGGAGGAGCGUGGGAUACGCUCAGGCUAGAGGGUGGGAGAGGGUGGUGGAAUUCCCGGAGUAGCGGUGAAAUGCGCAGAUACCGGGAGGAACGCCGAUGGCGAAGGCAGCCACCUGGUCCACUUCUGACACUGAGGCGCGAAAGCGUGGGGAGCAAACCGGAUUAGAGACCCGCGUAGUCCCUGUCUCUUAUAC